This 389-nucleotide long non-coding RNA is filed under the name Bos indicus x Bos taurus (hybrid cattle). RNAcentral's name for it is "lncRNA (ENSBIXG00005027517.1)". The record is from RNAcentral. Lineage: Eukaryota; Metazoa; Chordata; Mammalia; Artiodactyla; Bovidae.
UUGUAUCUACACCUUGAUUGUGUCUUCUACAUUCUUUUCAUUUUUCUUAAUUGUCCUUUCAGAGACAACUAAGAUUUUGUGAAGGAGGGAAGUAUUGCUGUUGAUUUUAAUUUUGCCUCAGUGUGACUGAGACAAAGAUUAGAGUGGACAUUCAGUGACUGCCACACCAUUAACUGAGAAAUAAGGCAGCUCCCUGUGCAAAAUCCCGAGGAAUAUCCUGACAAGUGUCCUGAGGAGUGCCUUGAGGAGUAUCCUGAAAAGUCCCUUGAGGGAGGUCUGAAGGAUGGAGAGUCACAGACAGGAAUGAUCUUGGAGGACCGAAUCAGGAGCAAGAACUUGAGUCAAUUCAGAUUUUUACUCUUCAGAUUCAAGUGAAGCAAAAUGUUCUU